GUGUAAUGACUUUCUGUUUUAUCCAAUGUGAUAUGGUGAGAUACCCCAAACAUAAAGGCCAUACGCUAUAUUGAAAUAGCGCCAGGUUCUGGUGCUGUGAGCGCCGCAAUUCGCGCUCGUGGGCAUCCCGCCUCAAACGGCGCUGAAUUUAAACAUGCCCCUAUAAAUACUGAUGGGGUGUGCUGGAAUCCGAGGCAGAGGGAAACAUGAGAACACACAGAACUGCUGUCUUCAGUGUAUUAAACCCCACCUGGAAAUGUGACGUCAGCAGGGUCAUAACAACUAGAAAUGAACACAAACUUCACAGUGUUGACGCAUUUCUCAGAUUCUGCGACUUGUUUAAAGAUGAUGGUUCCAUUGCUCACUGAACUGUGAAUAUUAAAACAUCAGCAUUAUGUGAUAAUAUAAUAAACUGUUGGGGUUGGUUUGUAGGCAGUGUUGUUAGCUGAUUGUUUUAUGUAAGCUACAAUCACUAACCAUACUGCCAAC
This is a long non-coding RNA of Misgurnus anguillicaudatus (oriental weatherfish), 489 nucleotides long. RefSeq lists it as uncharacterized. NCBI's taxonomy places the organism in Eukaryota, Metazoa, Chordata, Actinopteri, Cypriniformes, Cobitidae. The record is from RefSeq and is a predicted model, not a curated record.